AAACCAUGGUCUGGACACUGAUUGGUGUAGCUUCUAAACCUCUCCCAAGCUUCCCCAAAGCUUUCACUGUUAUGUUGCUUGAAGCUUGAGAUCUGGUUUCUCAACUU
This is a small nucleolar RNA of Eutrema salsugineum, 107 nucleotides long. It matches the Rfam family "Plant small nucleolar RNA R71". From Rfam's summary of the family: R71 is a member of the C/D box family of snoRNAs containing the C (UGAUGA) and D (CUGA) box motifs. The record is from Rfam. Lineage: Eukaryota; Viridiplantae; Streptophyta; Magnoliopsida; Brassicales; Brassicaceae.